Molecule: unclassified non-coding RNA, 280 nt
Filed under: Hevea brasiliensis (rubber tree)
Lineage: Eukaryota; Viridiplantae; Streptophyta; Magnoliopsida; Malpighiales; Euphorbiaceae
Source: RNAcentral
ACUCAAUUACAUGCAAAUUUUUACUCUUCUACUGUCUCCUGAUUCGUGGAAAAGAAAUUCAAAUGUUCCCGCCCUUGUGCGUCUACUUCAAGCUUUCCUUCAGAAAGCACCACAUGAGCUCAACCAAGAGGGGAGGCUCAGCCAGGUGCUUGGGAUAUUCAACAGGCUUGUGGCAUCCCCAAGUACUGAUGAACAGGGCUCUCAACACUGUGAUUGAGAAUCUUGACUAUGGUGUGAUUGCUCCCUACAUGGUUCACAUCUGGAAUGCCCUUUUUACACG